AUUGAACGCUGGCGGCAGGCUUAACACAUGCAAGUCGAGCGGGGUGAUGGUGCUUGCACUAUCACUUAGCGGCGGACGGGUGAGUAAUGCUUAGGAAUCUGCCUAUUAGUGGGGGACAAUAUCUCGAAAGGGAUGCUAAUACCGCAUCCGACCUACGGGAGAAAGCAGGGGAUCACUUGUGACCUUGCGCUAAUAGAUGCGGCUAAGUCGGAUUAGCUAGUUGGUGGGGUAAAGGCCUACCAAGGCGACGAUCUGUAGCGGGUCUGAGAGGAUGAUCCGCCACACUGGGACUGAGACACGGCCCAGACUCCUACGGGAGGCAGCAGUGGGGAAUAUUGGACAAUGGGGGGAACCCUGAUCCAGCCAUGCCGCGUGUGUGAAGAAGGCCUUAUGGUUGUAAAGCACUUUAAGCGAGGAGGAGGCUCUUUUGGUUAAUACCCAAGAUGAGUGGACGUUACUCGCAGAAUAAGCACCGGCUAACUCUGUGCCAGCAGCCGCGGUAA
Molecule: ribosomal RNA, 503 nt
Filed under: uncultured bacterium
Lineage: Bacteria
Description: partial 16S ribosomal RNA
Rfam family: Bacterial small subunit ribosomal RNA
Source: RNAcentral